UGGGGAAUAUUGCACAAUGGGCGCAAGCCUGAUGCAGCAACGCCGCGUGAGGGACGACGGCCUUCGGGUUGUAAACCUCUUUUAGUAGGGAAGAAGCGAAAGUGACGGUACCUGCAGAAAAAGCACCGGCUAACUACGUGCCAGCAGCCGCGGUAAUACGUAGGGUGCGAGCGUUGUCCGGAAUUAUUGGGCGUAAAGAGCUCGUAGGCGGUCUGUCGCGUCUGCUGUGAAAACCCGAGGCUCAACCUCGGGCCUGCAGUGGGUACGGGCAGACUAGAGUGCGGUAGGGGAGAAUGGAAUUCCUGGUGUAGCGGUGGAAUGCGCAGAUAUCAGGAGGAACACCGAUGGCGAAGGCAGUUCUCUGGGCCGUAACUGACGCUGAGGAGCGAAAGCGUGGGGAGCGAACAGGAUUAGAUACCCUGGGUAGUCCACGCCGUAAACGUUGGGCGCUAGAUGUGGGGCACCAUUCCACGGUUUCCGUGUCGCAGCUAACGCAUUAAGCGCCCCGCUGGGGAGUACGGCCGCAAGGCUAAAACU
This 537-nucleotide ribosomal RNA is filed under the name uncultured bacterium. RNAcentral's name for it is "partial 16S ribosomal RNA". It matches the Rfam family "Bacterial small subunit ribosomal RNA", at positions 355 to 901 of the family's 1533-position model. The record is from RNAcentral.